AAACGCAGCACGUCUCCAGAACAAAAAAAGCGAAAGCCAAAACCAAAAAUCUAAAAACAACACAAGCCAAAACCAGUAAGCGUUUCUAAUUCGAAUCGACAACGCUUGAGUCGAGAGAGAAAAGACCGGAACAGUGAAGAUUCAAGAACAACAAUUCCUUGGUUCCUUCUCUAAUCUCCACCGAUGUCAUUGCAUAUUGGCAACUUAUCGUCUCACAUUCGUAGAGAUGAACUUGAGCGUGUCUUCCAAAGGUUUGGUCGGUGUAAUGUACGAAUGAAAGAUGGAUAUGGGUUUGUGGUAUAUGAAUUCCCUCCAAAUGCAGAAAAAGCUUUGAGAGCACUACAUAAGAGGAGCAUUUGUGGGAAACCACUAACUCUCUCAUGGUCAAAUAAACAGCCUAGACCACUUAAAAGAUUUGCAAGGACUGCUAGAUCUUAUGAGCCACAGCAUGGUGGGAAUUCUGACAGAGGAGGAGAUCAUGUUAAAAGAAAAUUGGGUUCCAAUGAUCAGCAAGAUUAUAGGUUGAGUUUUACUCAAGCAGAUAGGAAUAGCAGAAUACCUAGUUCUGCAGACAUGCACCAGGAAGAGAUAGUUAACCACCAGGAUGACAUUGAAGAUCACACCAACAAAGAACAUCAGGGUUAUAGAGAAGAUUUUCUAGAUGAAAGAGGUAGGGUUGGACCUGACCCAAUGGACAAUGAUAGAUGGGGUGAGCAAUUCCAUAACCCACCAAAUGAAGUUGGUGUUGAAAAUGGGGUAGAAUUUGAUAGAUAUGAUCCUUAUGAAGGUUUUGAUAGGAGAAACAAUGAUGAAAAUCUUCAGAAGGCUUAUUCUGGCGGUACUCUUGCUUUACAAAGCUCUCAAGAGAAUGCAGGGGGGGAUCACACCAGCGAUGCAACUUUAAACCGUCUUAGUGAUGUAAAAUCCCAGGAAACUUGCUACAAAUGUGGAGGCUCUGGUCACAAAAUGCGCAAUUGUCCCCAGGAAAAUGCUUCACGGAGAAAUGUCACUAGGUUUGACAGUAGGCACACUGAUGACAUCCAUAGAAGUGGUAGAGGUAAAGGCGAUCCAGAAAAAAAUGGAUCCAGGUCAUGGGAAAAGCUCCAGUCAAGUAGAGAUGCUAUACCAGGAAGGAGACUCAAGAAUGAUAAAGAAUCAUCUGGUUCAGGAAGGCAUGAAGAAGUGACAAGGAAUGGAAGAUCUGCUGUAUCAAAGGAAACUGAUUGGUCCUGUAAAAAGGAGUAUGAAAGGAAAAGACAAAGUAGGAAGGAAAUGGAAUCUCCAAAAAGACAUGGCACAAAGAAAGGGAGACGAUCAACUUCAUCUUUUCUGCAUUCUGACAACACCACAUCUAGAUUGCAUUCUACAUCUCAUUCCUCUAAGCAGCUGCAAAGGUCUCACUCCCACUCUAGAUCAAAAUCAGUAUCUUCCAGCUUAAGGUCUGGCUCAACAUCACUCUAUUCUAGAUCCCAAAGUUCUAAAACCAUGUCAAGAUCAAUAUCUCCUACAUCCCUAUCCUUGUCCGUGUCACUUGGUCAAGCUUUGCCGUCCUCUUCAAAUAAGGUACAGCUGAUCAUGAAAGGCUCAUCAGAUAAUGCUACAACACCUGAAUCCAAGGAGGUUUUUAUUGAAGAAGUGCAACCAGUAGAAGGUGAAACUGGCUUGCAGGGUGAUAAACAUGGAUUGAAGACGGUUGCUGUGAAUGACAAUGCAGUGUCAUCGUCCAAAGCAGACACUGAAAUGGAAAAAUAUCAGCCUCUUCAGAAGGAUAAUGAUGACUGCCUAAUGAUGUCCAAUUCAUUGCACAAAGCAACUAAUUCAAGCACACAAAUACUGUCAGAGGAAGGCACACUUGCUGCUGGAAAUCUCUCUCUGGAGCCUGUGUUAGAGAUGGAAUGUCAAAAUUCUGAUACAUUUGAAACUGAGCAUGUGCAAGUUCCAUUGAAGAAAUUGGACCCAGAAGCUCUUGCCAGCUCAUCAUCCUUCCACUCAUCAAGCAUUUCUGCAGGGGAGUUGAGCAGUGUGCUGAAGCACUAUGGCCUUGGUUGUCAAGAUGAGAAUGAAAAGCCUUUGCCUGCUGAGGCGUACUUUGGUUCUGCUCGCUUGUGGCCAUGGGAGAUCAUCCACUACAGGAGGUUGAAGAAGGGCCUUAUCUCCAUUGAGAACUAUGCUAGGCGGGUUGAUCAGAAUAGGGAAUUUGGUAUUGUUGACAAAUAUAUUAGAAGCAGUAGUGGUUGGGGAGAAUUACAUCAAGAGAACCUGUGAAAGGUUUUGUUUGUCAAAAUGUGGAUUUAUUUUUGCCUUCUUAGAACCUCAGCAUUUUGGACACAUCGUGAAUCUAGCCCUGCUCUUAUUUUGAGCAGAAGAGUUGAACAGAUUUUAGACGUGCUCACAGUCACAGCAUAACACUUGGUUUGGAGAAAAGUGCCAGCUUCUUGCAAUCUCUUUUACAUUUGGUUCAAGAACUGCUGGUAUUUGUGUGUGAACGUCAAAUUUGAAAUAUGGUCACCCCUUCACCCCGAGUGGUGGACUUCUAAUUAUCAUCAUCUCUCUGUUGCUGUGUUUUUUUGAGCUCAGAUUAUCCAUCAUUUAGAAAAUUGAAAGCUCUUCUCGGUUUAGAGCUGUUGUUUUUGUAAGGUACUAUAUAGACACCGCAUUUUGACUAAUAAUUUGAGGAUUCCAUGUAUCCGCUGGCUAGUUUAGCAUUUGAUUUGCUAUGGUCUCCUGUGAGGAUAAGCAUUGUUAAUAUCCUUGUAUCUCGAUCCACCUUGAGUGAAAAAGAAAACAGAAUGUUCCCGGGCUAUGAUCAGCAGUAAUCGUCAAGCACACUAGAAAGAAAUAGCAAUUAUUUGUUCCCAGCAUGUGGGGUUUCGUUCACAAGGAUGGAUGAUUGGAUAUGGAUGAAAAUUCAGAAACAACAGAUAGGGAUGUGAUGUGAUUAGAAUGAUAAAUCCUGAACUUAGAUUGUCAUCCCUAGAUUUGGCAUGGAUUUAUUUUCUCUCUAGAUUUGUAUUAGAUUUUUCUUUGAGAAAACAGAGACAAAUAUAUAUUUAUAAAUUGAGUGCUUUGGUCUGAAA
RNA transcript from Populus nigra (black poplar), 3077 nucleotides. RefSeq lists it as uncharacterized. The record is from RefSeq and is a predicted model, not a curated record. The transcript has 5 exons. Lineage: Eukaryota; Viridiplantae; Streptophyta; Magnoliopsida; Malpighiales; Salicaceae.